This is a long non-coding RNA of Cervus elaphus (red deer), 2256 nucleotides long. RefSeq lists it as uncharacterized. The record is from RefSeq and is a predicted model, not a curated record. The transcript has 4 exons. NCBI's taxonomy places the organism in Eukaryota, Metazoa, Chordata, Mammalia, Artiodactyla, Cervidae.
GGUGCCAAAAGCAUGCCGAAAGAAACCCUCCUUUUCAGAGGUUGCUUCCUGGGAGCUCAAGCUGUGGAAUCUGCCCAGAAGUCAAAGGUCUUGAUGGCAAUUGUACACUGACAGCAAGUUCUAGCAGCCAUUACUACACUGACGCUUAUUCUGGUCACUGAAUCAAUAUCAAUAUUCAUGAAGAUAGAGCAUCUUGAUUUUGCUCAUAUUUUUGGACUCUCUAUAACAAUCAGCUUCUUCAUUUCAUCAUGGAUAGCUGACAAAUAAUAUGGCAAGUAAUUGAACUCAUCAGAAAAGUAAAACAAAUCUAUAGUAAUCACAUUUUGCUUUAGUGACUAGUCUUUGAGCUCUUUCAACCUGCAGAUUGAACAGGCUGUGGUGUGCUUUUGAAACAAAGGAAAAGAUGAAACAGAUGCUUGUUAAUCAUGUUGGAACUUCUAAAACAGCUGUUGCCAUGGGAGAUAUUGUUCCAGUACUUCUUUUGAAUUUUACAUGAGGACAUUUGCUCCCUCCUUGGCAUUGCAAAUUACAGGAGUGAUUGAGGUAGUUCUAAAAUCCCUAACUCCCCUUCCCCAUUUGAAUGCCUAGCCUUGCGUUUUGGCAUCAAUUUGAGCUGUAAUGCCUUUGCAGCAAAGCAAGGAAAAGUCUGUGAACUAUAAUUGCUCACUGCAAAAGUGUUUGAUGAUUAGCACAAUCUCUCAAGCAAGUUGUAAAGGAUAGAAACUGUGCUUAGGGAGUUAAUAAAACAAUCCCGCAGUUUCCCUAGGCAGUUUUUCCAGGUGCAACGUCUGCCCCUCUCAAAACAAAAUCUACAGCUUCGGAAUAGAGUGAGCCGCGCGCAUGGAUCAAUGGUCAAACCCAGAGAGUGGGGCUCAUCCAAGAGAAACAAGACGAAAAAUUCAACCAGAGACAGAAAUCUGGACGUGCACCAAACAACUUUUCAUCAGUGUGUCUGUCCGGGAGGAAACAUUUUCCAGUGGCCUCCUUCCUUUUUUUUUUUUUUUCUUUCGAAAUGAGCUCAACUGCAGUGUUCGCAGGCGUUGUAACCAACACACUGCUUUAGGCAUGGAGGAGCAUGAAUAAGUGAUGCUGUCUGUUCAAGUUGUGGAUGCCGUGAAAGGAGCCGGAGCAGGCCUAGUACCAGCACCGGGCACCUCCCUGAAUCUGAAGGCAACGAGGCGGGCAUCGGUCCACCGGAAAUGCACAAACAGCUUCUUCCAGACGCUGGCCUUCGUCUCAAUGAGAUGCUCUUUGGCUUAAACCGAUAAACCGCCCCAUCAGGUGGGACCAUUUGGAAGUGACAGAGAAAACACACAGGGCUCGAGUGUUUUGCACUCAGCCGUGUUUACAGAAACAGGAAAGCCUGAUGCCUUUCAAGUUAUUUCAUCCUGCACCUUUGCAAGAUCCCUCAUCUUGUUGUCAGUAAAUUGGAUGAGUGCACCUUCUGUAUAUUCAUUCAAGCGAUGUAAAUAUUGAACAGAAAGGGAGCUAUGGCACACUAACUGUGGACCAGAAGAUCGUAGAGAAGGGAAAAAUAACCUGCCUUUAGCAACAACAACAAAAAAAUCCACCAAGUAAUGGCAAAUAUGACUUCAACAACAUGAAUUACUCUGGGCACAAAAGAGUAAGAACAAAAGACCUGAGCCUGAUUUUCAGAUUUCUAAAUUACAUGUUGAAAUUGAGCAUAUAAAAAAAUACAAGCAUUACACAAAAUGCCCUGAACUUAAGAGGCAUUUUUCAUUUGGCAUGGCAAUAUUCUCAGACAGCUAAAAGAAUGAAAUUUUGUCUUUACUUUUUCUUCUCUAUUACUGCACCAGACUAGUGUGUGCUGUAAAUUAGCUCAUUAUGCCCAGGGUAGGAUAUUGAAUAGUCUUAUUCAAUUGUUACAAAAAUGGCAGUAAUACAUUUUAGAAGUCAGACCCUUUGCUAGUCUCUCUGAUAUUCUGUAAUGUGAAGCCAGUGAUUGUAUAAACUGGACUUUGCUCUGUGAAAAUUCAGGCUCUGAGAUGCAGCAGAAAGGAGUGAGGACCCUGCAGAUGCUGGCACAUAAGGCUGAUACCACAGAAAAGCCAGCCCGUUUUAUUUGACAGGGUCCAGAAUCUAUCUUUAUUGAGGCUUCAGGACACCAGGGAGGCAGGCACCCUGCAGCCUUGAUCCUCACAUAUUAGCAGUUCUCUCUCUCUAUCACAUGGAAUGUUUCCAAAAUAUCUUCUCCAUUUUUUUUUUUCCCCUGAAGCCAGAGACUAGAACUAUCAU